GCCAUUGUGGUGUAGUGGUUAAGAGCGGUAGACUUGUAAUCUGGUGAACUGGGUUCGAUUCCCCACAUGCAGCUGCU
RNAcentral lists this transfer RNA (77 nucleotides) under Podarcis lilfordi (Lilford's wall lizard). RNAcentral describes it as "tRNA.Thr". Lineage: Eukaryota; Metazoa; Chordata; Lepidosauria; Squamata; Lacertidae. The record is from RNAcentral.